This 76-nucleotide transfer RNA is filed under the name Polaromonas sp. Its description in RNAcentral is "tRNA-Arg". It matches the Rfam family "tRNA". From Rfam's summary of the family: Transfer RNA (tRNA) molecules are approximately 80 nucleotides in length. Their secondary structure includes four short double-helical elements and three loops (D, anti-codon, and T loops). Lineage: Bacteria; Pseudomonadati; Pseudomonadota; Betaproteobacteria; Burkholderiales; Comamonadaceae. The record is from RNAcentral.
CCCUCCGAAGUUCAACUGGAUGAACGCCGGUCUACGAAGCCGGAUGCUGCACGUUCGAAUCGUGCCGGAGGGGCCA